UGGGAUUAAACAGUGAACCAGCCCCUUUUUAAUCCAUCCCUGAUAGGUCACGGGUGCUGAGGAGGAAGUUAGACCCUGGGACAACCUUGACGACUUCUUCCUGGUGUGGACCCCAGAGCUGUGCUCAGAACGGUGCAAACAACGUAAAUGCUCUGCCAACAGCUGAUCCACUGUAUGGUUUUCGGAUGAUGACAAGGGAAAGGCUCACCUCUGAGAUCUCCAUCUGCAGUUGACGGAAUCCCCACAUGCAGAACCCUGGAGUCAACCCCUGGCUGACCCUGUAUACCUGCACGUUCACCUUAAGCUUGUAGCUUGCAGUUUUUCUCUGUUUAUUUAAUUUGACAAGUAUUAAAUCUGCGCUCCAUAAAACAGA
This is a long non-coding RNA of Arvicola amphibius (Eurasian water vole), 373 nucleotides long. RefSeq lists it as uncharacterized. The transcript has 2 exons. NCBI's taxonomy places the organism in Eukaryota, Metazoa, Chordata, Mammalia, Rodentia, Cricetidae. The record is from RefSeq and is a predicted model, not a curated record.